AUGUGGGUGUGGGUAAAGAUUUGGGGUUGUGGGAACACGUGGGGAUGUGGGGCAGAUGGGGGGAAGAAGGGAUGUGGGGCAGAUGGGGGGCGUGGGGGCAGAUGUGGGAUGUGGGGCAGAUGUGGGAUGUGGGGCAGAUGUGGGAUGUGGGGCAGAUAUGGAGAUAUGGGGGUGUGGGUAAACAUGUGGGGUCUUGGGAACUGGUGGGGAUGUGGGGCAGCAAUGGCGCCUUGGGGACACUGCUGUCCCCAUGCGGUGGCACUUGGGGACACUGCUGUCACCUGGAGGUGGCACCUUGGGGACACUACUGUCACCUAGAGGUGGCACUUGGGGACACUGCUGUCACCUCUGGCUCCCACAGGACAGCAUUGGCGCCUUGGGGACACUGCUGUCACCAUGAGGUGGCACUUGGGGACACUGCUGUCACCCAUGAGGUGGCACCUUGGGGACAGUGCUGUCACCUCUGGCACCCACAGGACAGCUAUGGCACCCUGGGGACACUGCUGUCACCUAGAGGUGGCACUUGGGGACACUGCUGUCCCCCAUGAGGUGGCACUUGGGGACACUGCUGUCACCUCUGGCUCCCACAUGACAGCAUUGGCGCCUUGGGGACACUGCUGUCACCUGGAGGUGGCACUUGGGGACACUGCUGUCACCUAGAGGUGGCACUUGGGGACACUGCUGUCACUUGGAGGUGACACUUGGGGACACUGCUGUCCCCUGUGAGGUGGCACUUGGGGACACUGCUGUCACCUGUGGCACCCACAGGACAGCAAUGGCACCCUGGGGACACUGCUGUCACCAGGAGGUGACACUUGGGGACACUGCUGUCCCCAAUAUCUGCGCAGCGCUGUCACCAAAGCACCAUAACCGAACCCUGGGGACACCGCCGUCCCCUUUACCCCCCUCCCCCCUUUAUCCCCAUGCUGUCCUCACCCGGGUGUCGCGUUGUCCCCAACGUUGUCCCCAAAUUGUCCCCAAAUUGUCCCCCCCCAGGCGCAGCUGGCCUUCCUGCAGGGCGAACGGAAAGGCCAGGAGAACCUGAAGACGGAUUUGGUGCGGCGCAUCAAGAUGUUGGAGUUCGCCCUGAAGCAGGAGAGGUGCUGGAUUUGAGGGGAGGGGAGGGGAGGGGGGGUCCAUUUUGGGGGAGGGGACAGC
This 1158-nucleotide long non-coding RNA is filed under the name Phasianus colchicus (ring-necked pheasant). RNAcentral describes it as "lncRNA (ENSPCLG00000019106.1)". The record is from RNAcentral. Lineage: Eukaryota; Metazoa; Chordata; Aves; Galliformes; Phasianidae.